CUGAAUGAGCAAGAGAUAAGGCUCCUCUUAUCUUCUCAUCAGAUCUUUGUUUCUUUCUUCUUCUUCUUUUUUUUUGCUUUUUUGGUUAUGUUUUUCUCGAUUUAGACAAAAACCCUAGACUUGAUUUUCCAAAAGGUGUCUUAAAUAGUAUCUCUUUCCUCUAUUCAUGUUUGUGUGUUUUCUCUCUAUGGUUCCUUGUCUACUUUAGUUAAAACCCAGAUCUAACCUUUAAUCUUCUCAUCGUUUCACUGAUCUCGUGAUUAAUGUUCUCUUUUUCAUGUUGUAGAUCUCUGGAGAUGGAAGAACUGCGAGUGAAUGAGUUGGGACAAAAGAAAAACAUAGCAACUGACAGAAGAGAGUGAGCACACAAAAGUAAUCUGCAUAUACUGCAUUUGCUUCUCUUGCGUGCUCACUGCUCUUUCUGUCAGAUUCUAGUGCUGAUCUCUUUGGCCUGUCCUUGUUCUCUUUGUCUCAAUCUCUCUCUCUCUCUCACAUACGCAAUCUCUCUCUACUUCUCUUGUUCAUCUCAAAUAAAGUUCUAUCUUUCGGUUAACUGAUGAGUCGUUGGGCUGAAACCAUGGUGAUACUGAUACCGGUGAGAAUUGUGUGGUCAGACGUGUGUAUCACAUCGGAAGCGAUCUUUGUAUAUAAUGCAAUCGUUGUGAUGUUUGCGUCUCAAAUGCACAAUAUGUUCUAGCUUUAAUUAGCUAAGUCAGUACUCAAUACUAAUAUUGUUGAAGCAAUUGGGAAAUAUGAACCAUAUUGUGUAUGGAUUUCUGAGUUGAAUGAUUUAAAAUUAGUUGGUUCCAGCUA
Brassica napus (rape) is the source of this 813-nucleotide long non-coding RNA. RefSeq lists it as uncharacterized. NCBI's taxonomy places the organism in Eukaryota, Viridiplantae, Streptophyta, Magnoliopsida, Brassicales, Brassicaceae. The record is from RefSeq and is a predicted model, not a curated record. The transcript is spliced from 2 exons.